RNAcentral lists this transfer RNA (57 nucleotides) under Mesabolivar sp. ITV1036I2. Its description in RNAcentral is "tRNA-Gln". Lineage: Eukaryota; Metazoa; Arthropoda; Arachnida; Araneae; Pholcidae. The record is from RNAcentral.
UUUAAAGUGUUCAACUCACGUAAAAAUUUGAUUUUUAAAAAGGUAAAUUACCUAAAU